RNAcentral lists this long non-coding RNA (1424 nucleotides) under Sarcophilus harrisii (Tasmanian devil). RNAcentral describes it as "lncRNA (ENSSHAG00000026861.1)". Lineage: Eukaryota; Metazoa; Chordata; Mammalia; Dasyuromorphia; Dasyuridae. The record is from RNAcentral.
UACAUGGGUAACUUUACAGCAUUAACAAUUGCCAAACCUGGAAGAGAUUACUUUCAUAUUGGGUGAUCUGAGAAAUCUUGAUAGAAGUUUGCAUUUGCAUCUGAAAUAACUAACAUUCAGAAUUUUAAAGUUUUCAAAACCCAUUACACACUUUGGAAUUUUGAUCCUCAAAACUAGCCUAUGAAAUCACAGAUCACUGAUGUGUUGGGCAUUCAUGUGCAUUUCCCCCUUGCUCCUUCUGGAGGAACUGAACCAUAGCUAUGUGAUCUUGUUAUAAAUGAAGCUAGAAGAUACAGAAAAAAAAAUUACCCAUUGGAGGAAGUGCAGCUCACAUUCACCUCAGUUAAAGAAGGUGACAGGUAUUUCCAUCAUAUUCCUCCAAAUAGUAAGAAACAUCACAAUGUGUAAGAUGCACUGCAAGCCAACCAUUAUAAAGAUCAUUGCAACUUAGAGGAUGAAGGAGAGAAAUUUUCGAAGUGACUUGACAACACUCCUUCAAACUAAAUCAACUAAAUACGUGGAUACUGAUGACUUUAGUGGUGAACACAGAAAUAUUGAAAAAUCUGGUUUGUGAUCAAAGAAGGAAAAAGGGUAGCCAGGAUUGUAGAUUAUUAAUGUACCUAUACAUCUUGAGAAUUUUCUUUAAGAAGAGGUAUAUGGAAGAUCCUAGAGGACUAGAACAAGUGAAGUUUACUGUAAUGAGAGAUAGGAAACAACUUAGAGCUAAAGUAGAAAAUCAAAAGAAUGAAAAAGACUGAAAAUCAGACAAAUAGCAACCCCACCUUACCUAUUAAAAUGGAUUCUUGAUUCUGAAAAGUGAACAAAUAGAUAAUUGACUUGACUACAGUUUCUUUGAGAAAUGAAACUGAUUCAGAACAUUCAAAAACAAGGCCCAAAGAACCUAGAAAUCUAAUUCAAUGAAUAUUUGGAUUGUCUUGUCAAGAAAAUUUCCAUUAGGGGUGAUGUUAGGGUGUGAGUUCAUUUGCCAAAUGGUACAAUCCUUCUGAUGAUGGAACAUCAUAAAAAUAGCAUCAUCUUAUAAUGUAAAACAGUGAAGCAUAAGUAAGGGGAAAACAGCAGAAAGUUGGUUUUUGUGGCACAGUUGUGCCAAAUGUUUCUGAGAACAUUUAUUGUUGAAACUGGAAGGGUGACAAAUGGCUGUUAACUGGAACAGAUCAGUUGAUGGUGAUGAAGUAAACUUUAAUGAUUUGCAACAUUCCUAGAAAUUCUGUACAAAUUGAAUUAAAGUGUAAUAAGCUAAUGUGUAGAUUUGGGACUGGAGGCGAGUAGUCUAUGUGAGGUAGGCCGCUACCCAGUUAACAUGGAGGAGAAUGAAAAGGAUAAGGACACUUGAAAUACUAUGUUAUACACUCACUUUUUAAUGUGUGUAUUGUUCUGUCUUUUUCUAUCAUAUCUGAUUCUUU